UAAAAGUUAAAUUUAGGAUAUAUUUGAUUUUAGUAUGGAUUUUAAUGGUUAAAAAGUUGAGUAUAUACAUGCGGUUUUUUGAUGUAUAUAAGUUAAAUAAUCUUAAUGAUGGGCUUAUUUUUAUAGCAGUAUUUGAUAUUGUAAAAUUUUAUUUUUAAAGAUACAGUUUAUUUUAUUUUUGACUAGCAAAAAUUGUGCCAGCAGCUGCGGUUACACAAUUAGUCAUUCCAUUAUUUUAGGGAAAUAUUUAUAAUUAUAUAUUGACUAUAUUGAAUUUUAUUUUUAAGUGAAAUUUAAAUUUAUGUUUAAGAGUUUGGUUUGAAAUUAGAUAAUAUAUGAAAUUUAUAAUUUAAACUAGGAUUAGAUACCCUAUUAUUGUAAAUGUAAAUUUAGAAUCUCUAGUAUUAAUAGUUAUGAUCUUUAAAUUAAAAGAAUUUGACGGUGAUUUAAUCUUUUCAGAGGAACCUGUUCUGUAAUUGAUAAUCCACGAUAAAUUUUACUUUAAUUGUGUUUGUAUAUCUCUGUUUAUUGAGUGUUUUAUUAGGAUUAAAUUCUCUUAAAUUUUUAAUAAAUUAUAUAUCAGGUCAAGGUGCAACGAUAUUGAAGUUUGAAAUGGGUUACAUUUAUUUAUAAUUUUGGAUUAAUAAAUUGAAAUACUGUAUUUGGUUAUUAUGAAAUUGGAUUUGAUUGUAAUAAUUAUUAUAUUUUAAUUAUGAUAUUUGUUCUAGAUUGAGUACACAUCGCCCGUCGCUCUCAUUUAUUAAGGUGAGAUAAGUCGUAACAAAGUAGGCCUAUCGGAAGAUGGGCCUAGAAUUAUA
RNAcentral lists this non-coding RNA (818 nucleotides) under Poecilocoris nepalensis. The record is from RNAcentral. Lineage: Eukaryota; Metazoa; Arthropoda; Insecta; Hemiptera; Scutelleridae.